GUGGCGCUCGGCGAUGACGUCAUCACGCUGGACGUUGAUUCAGCGGCGUAUUUAUAGGGCUGGCCUAUACAGAAUUUUGUGUGUAACGUUUGUACACCCUGGGACACGCUUUGGACCUUUGGACAGUCGCUUGAUACCACCAAUAUAGGCUCAAACUUUGAUGUCCAGCACAGGAACCAGUAUACUGGGGACCUGUUAUGUGCGGAUGGUAUCCUAUCUUGUUUCUGUUUUUAAGUGAGCUGUUGUCCCAGUUGGCUGCAAGGUUAAUUAUUAUAGUACAGAUUAUUUGUAACUACACCUGCGACGCCUAACUCAAGCUUGAAACACGUUGUGUCUUGACUUCAGAGUCUGUGCAAGAUUCCUUGUCGGUUGUAUUAUACCGCCUGCUAUACGUUCCCUUUGGAUGCAUCCAUCGUGAGACCAUC
Rana temporaria (common frog) is the source of this 425-nucleotide long non-coding RNA. RefSeq lists it as uncharacterized. The transcript has 4 exons. The record is from RefSeq and is a predicted model, not a curated record. Lineage: Eukaryota; Metazoa; Chordata; Amphibia; Anura; Ranidae.